GGCUGUAUCUCAGUGGCAGAGCGCUUGCCUAGCACGUGUGAGGCACUGGGUUCAAUCCUCAGCACCA
RNAcentral lists this transfer RNA (67 nucleotides) under Marmota monax (woodchuck). Its description in RNAcentral is "tRNA.Ala". Lineage: Eukaryota; Metazoa; Chordata; Mammalia; Rodentia; Sciuridae. The record is from RNAcentral.